This is a non-coding RNA of Arachis ipaensis, 193 nucleotides long. NCBI's taxonomy places the organism in Eukaryota, Viridiplantae, Streptophyta, Magnoliopsida, Fabales, Fabaceae. The record is from RefSeq and is a predicted model, not a curated record.
GUCGCCGGAGAACCUCGCUGCCGUCACUGGAGAACUCUUCCGUUGACUCACCGGAGCUUUUGGCCGCUACCGGAGCUAUUGCCGGGUCGGUCCAGAAUUGCAGCUGCUUCAUUUUGUUGUUUCGAGCUGUUUAUGCUGCUGCGGAAACGUGUGGGGCUGUGCUUUGAAGCUGCCUUUGGUUUUGGGUCGAGAC